CUGAGGGAUGACUUAGAGACCUUGUACCUGCUGGUGGCCAAAGAAACAUCCCAGCAAAGCUGUAUGUGACAGUGACCUGUUUGGCAUCAGUUUGGAGGGUCAUGCAGAGCACACCAAGAAAGCCCUGGACACCGACUUUGACCCCCCAGCAAGACUUCAAAACUCCCAGCUCCUGAACGAGGUGCAGCAGCUUCUCCACUCAGAGAUGGCUUCAGCUGGUUCAGAAAAAAAGACCUGAAGCUGGUUUCUGACUCUGAACUGUCCAGAAAGCUAAAUCCCUCUGCAGAAGAGUUUGCUCAGUGGCACACUGGGAAUCUCCAGCCACUCUCCCAGGGGAGUCAAUGCUAGAGGCACGGAUGCAGCUGAGGUUUUCAAACCAUCAAGCAGAUUUGGCCACACAGGCCACCUCGCAAGCCCCGUCCCGGGCAGGACCAGCGCCUGAGCCCCAGCUGGCUGACGGAUGCUGUGACCUCCCUCGGAGCCCAGCGAGGAGGUACCUGACACCACGUUCUGAGAUCCCCGGGAUACCCAGAGGUUUUGUCAGCUGCUCAUUUGGUAGAAACACUAUGCACUUGACUCUCACUCCUAAUUAAAAGCCUGCUUGCUGUGCUGUGUCUGCAGGCACCCGGCCGGGAACAGGACCACAGAUGGUGGGAGCCUGGGCGUUUGCUGCUCAUCCUCCCCAGCACUCACAGAGAGCUCAUCAGCAGGGAUGACUGACAGCCUUUCCCUCCCAAGCACUGUCCACCAGCAGCUCAGGCAAAUGAAAUAAGUUACUGGGUUAGAAGAGAGCACAAAAAAGUCCCUCAGGGAGACUUUGAGGGGGAGUAAGCACUAGGUUUUGUCUUAAAUCAAUUCUGCAAAACUGCUGACCUUGUCACUGCAAAACUGCGGGUGCAGGAAAACUCUGUCAUCUGAAUUCAGGUUUACACGUCUAAUUACUUUUGAAUAUGCUUGGAUAAAUAUUCCUUCUUUUAUUCACCCAGUUCUGGAGACUCCUGCACUGCUCAGGCACAGAGCAGUGGCCAUGCCCUGGGAACCAGGACCAGCAAGAGCAGGGAAAGCUGGAGCUGGCUCCCAUGGGAGCUCUCCAUGGAAAGGCUCACCAGACUCUUUAGCUUGGGCACUAGACAUUGUUCUCUGCUAAAAGGGCAAAUUUUUGGCAAGCAAGGGUGAAACCUGCAAAACAUAUGGCAAGAGCAGGUUAAAAGGAUGAACAAGUUCCCCAGUAACCAAAAGAUUCACAGCUACUGGCAGUGAUCCUCCAAUUAGGCUUUAAGGAGGCAGGAGGAGGUCUGGCUGGGGAUGAGGGUGAGGAGAAGGCUCAUUGAGGUCACCUGCUUCUCCAGAGGAAAUAAAAACAGCAGCACAGGUCAGCCCUGGAAUAGGCUUUAGAGGGAGAAGGAUGGUGUAAGGAGGAUUUGCUGCCUGCUUAGCCUAUGAGUAAGUAAGUUGUUUUUCCUGUAUUUUGUUCUCCUUUUUUUGGUACAAUUUCCCAAGGGUUUCCUCAUGUUUUUCUCCCUGUUCAGUGUGGCAGGGAAUGUGUCUGGGAGCUGGUGUGUGUGAGCAGUGCUUUGGGCCUGUGAUGCUUCCCUUACCUUGGGUUGCUUUGUUGGUGGGUCAGUCUCAGGUAUACUCAGUUUAGUGCCCAUCAGCACAUCAUGGUUUACUUUGCUGCAUGUGGGGAAUUGUCAUUUGUACAGGGGCAUCUAACUACUCAGUAGCACUGGAAUAUCUCUGUUGUGAGAAGGAGAGAGGGAAGCUGCUCCUGUGGUUACAGUCUAAGUGUGCUUGGUGCUGCACAGAUGCGUGUUGAGAAAGGUUGUUCUUGCUAAUUAGCUCUGCUAUCUUGGGGGAGGAGAGCGAGGAAGGAUCCUCAGCUGUGUGCUGCUCUGCCUGCUGCUGCCAGCCCUCUGCAGUGGUCCCCCUGUCCCCUCCAGCAUCUGGCCCAGCAGGAUCCUGGGGAGUCUGCCCUCCUCUCCUGCACGGCAGUGUGUCCCUGUGUUGGUGGCAGGGCUUCUGACCUUUAUUACUGCAUUUUGUUUCAUGUUAAUGCCUCUAAUGAGCUGAGCAGAGUCAUGGUCUGCUGGGGUUACCUGUCCUCCAAUCUAAAGUACUUCCAUCCCAACUUGAGCAUCAAUCUUUGUGCUGGUAUUUAUUGCUUGAUUCAAGUCCAAAAUAUCUGAUGGGUAUUACAUUUUCUUCUUACUGAAAGUGUUUUAUUUCCUAAAAGCUAAAGAAAAUGAACA
Molecule: long non-coding RNA, 2249 nt
Organism: Aquila chrysaetos chrysaetos
Lineage: Eukaryota; Metazoa; Chordata; Aves; Accipitriformes; Accipitridae
Exons: 3
Source: RefSeq, a predicted model, not a curated record